This 1578-nucleotide ribosomal RNA is filed under the name Triticum aestivum (bread wheat). RNAcentral describes it as "partial small subunit ribosomal RNA". Lineage: Eukaryota; Viridiplantae; Streptophyta; Magnoliopsida; Poales; Poaceae. The record is from RNAcentral.
AUGUCCUCCUCCUCCUCGCUGCCCGCCAAGCCGCCCCCGCCGCCGCGCCCCAAGACGCGGGGCAGCUACAACUGCGGCCGAUGCGGCCAGCCCAAGAAGGGCCACGUCUGCAACCUCCCCUCCCCGGCCGCCGCCGACGGCGGCGCCGCGCCCCCCUCCCCGUCGCCCUCCUCCUCCGGCGGGGACACCCGCCUCCGCCGCGCCCUCUCCUUCGACGAGCCCUCCUCCCCCGAGAAGAAGCCCAGGCCCGACCAUGACGGCCGCACCAUGGAGCUGGGCGGCCGGGCCGUGCCGGUGGACCUCGUCGUCGAGGUGCUGCGCCGGCUCGGCCCCAGGGGCGUCCUCGACGCCGCCGCCGUCAGCCGCGCCUGGCGCGACUGCGCCGACCGGGUCUGGCGCGUCGCCGAGGAGCUCCGCCUCCGCCCGGCCGCCGCCGGCCUCCUCGGCGCGCUGCUCCCCCGCUGCGCCGCGCUCUCGCGCCUCGUCCUCCACAUGGAAAGUGCUGUUGAUGCCACCAUGCUGUCAUGUCUUGCAUUUUCCUGUUCAAGUUUGGAAACUCUGGAGAUCACCAUGGCCGACAAGGCAAUCAACAAUAUGACUGGAGAGGAGCUAAGUCGACUUGUUUCAGAGAAGCAUUCUCUCUCAAUUCUCAAAAUCGGUGGCUGCUCUAAUCUUGGUUUUCUUAAUCUAAGCUCUUCAAGCCUUAAUGUUCUUUGGCUAUCAGAUCUUUGCUCCCUUUCGGAAUCGGUCAUAAGCUGCCCUAAUAUGAGCGAGCUCUCCCUGUGUUUCACACAACAAAGUUCGGAAUGUACUGACCUGGUUAGUUUGAUGGAUGGCCUGGGCCGAUCGUGCCCUAACUUAAGAAAUUUGCACAUAUCAUCAAUUCAACUAUCUAAUGAAGCUGUGUCCGCUCUAGAGGCUGCCAACCUCAGGGGCUUGUGCAUGCUAUCCUUGAUUCUCGGUUCAAAAAUGACAGAUGCAGCUGUUGCAUCUAUCGUCAGAUCUUGUGCAAGCUUGGAAUUGCUUGAUUUAAGUGGAUCUAGCAUCAGUGAUAGUGGUGUUGGUAUGAUCUGCAAGGCGUUCCCUCAUACUUUAUCGAGGCUGCUCCUUGCUCUCUGCCCAAAUAUUACUACAUGUGGGAUCCAGGCUGCAACAGCACAAUUGCCACUUCUUCAGCUCAUGGACUGUGGAAUGAGCUUACGUUCUAACUUGCAGAAUGAAAAACAGGGGGCUUAUUUUGGUGAGAUCAAUGGAAGGAUUAGAUUGUGCCCAAAAUUACCCACCUUAAAAAAGCAACCUAUGCGCCAAAAGCUGAUCAUAAAGCAUGAUAAUUUGAAGAAGCUCAGUCUAUGGGGCUGUUCAGCAAUAGAUGCUUUGUAUGUGAAAUGCCCAGAGUUGAUUGAUCUGAACCUCAACACUUGUACAAAUCUACACCCAGAGCGGCUGCUACUUCAGUGCCCAAAUCUGAAGAAUGUACAUGCAUUUGGAUGCCAAGAUAUGUUGAUUGGUGCAAUAAAAAACCAGAAACUGAUAAACAGAAAGAAUCUAAUGAAGCAAUGUGUAUCAACUGGAGUCUAG